UCGGAGAAAAGAUCGGGUCAGGUUCAACCGAAGGUCCUAUUAGAAUCCAGCAAGGGUCAGGGGUUGGAGGGGACAAGGAGAGGACUGGAGGGUGCGGCUGGCGGCGUAUAGUGGUGAGGGAAUGCUAGGAGAAAGGGCCGCACGGAAUGGAGUGGUGAGGGAACGCUGGGAGACAGGGCCGCGCGGCGGGGAGUUGUGAGGGGACGCUUGGAGGUAGGUUCGCGCGUCAGGGAGUAGAGGUAAGAGGCCGCUGGGACGUAGGGCCGCUCGGUAGGUAGCAGUGGCGAGGGGACGCUGGUUGCCACUUAGGUUCCAUGCUGCACGGCGGGAAGAAGUGGUGAGGGGACAGUGGGACGUAGGGCCGCGCGACGGGCAGCAGUGGCGAGGGGACACUGGGACGUAGGGUAGCGCGCGGGGGAGCAGUGGCGAGGGGACGCUGCUGCCGCUUAGGUUCCACCGAAUAUGUCGCAGUUACUUAUACCACAGUCGUUCUCCAAAUACCGCGACAAACCGUCAUCCAAAAUAACAACAAGCACAAGGACGAGAAGCUAAGGUUGUUAGAAGAGCUAAUAACCUACUGUGUUCCUAACUCAGUUCGAACGUGAAGACUACACCCUACUACCAACACACACAUCGGGACGGGUUUGAGACCGGGGAGGUUUCAGUCCACGUCCUCAAGUCCAAGUAAGAAGUAGUCAAAAUUACGGUUCAUUAGUAUAAACCUACUGUGAAGGACUAGUUGCCCACUCAAUAAACCACGUAUGAUAAUUACCUAGUCGUGAACCUACCAACCUAACACUACACCUGUAUAAUAACUUAUCCAGGUUAUAUAUUAUUACCCUCAUUCGUAUUCUCGUAACGGAUGUCCAAAUAUAAGCCAGUCUUGUACGUAUAUGUGGUAAAUGCGGUUAACGAAAGAAGUACGUUAACACGUUGACAAUUGUAAAGGGACUACAACGUUAUAAUAUUCCCUUAAAUUGACUUAAAUUAGACGAACAGUCUAAAUACAGUUAUAAGAAAAAAUUUCUACCUCGAUGUAUUAACAAGCAACCACUAGCUGGAGUGGUUAGACCGCAAAACCACAAACUAGCUCCAUGGUUGUCUUAAACUAACACAUCAAAGUUGUCGGAAUGAAUCCUGAUAAGAGCAAAGUAGAAGGUAAACCUCCCUGAUACUAUCGUAAAUACUUCGAAAACAUUAAGGAAAUGCUCAAGAAAGGAAAGUUAGGUAGCUAUUGAAACUAAAAGAGAUUGUGCGUACUUGAUUUCAUAAGAACUUCUCGGACCUUUUUUUAUUGCCUCUUUAUAGAGAACGAUAUCAACAUUCAACACAAGAAUUUAAAUUUGAACUACCACAACUUGAAUGUUUACUUAAGACCCUUCACGUACAACUAUACCUUGAACACUUCUGUACUAUAAACCAUGCCUCAGCGUUUGACGUUAUGAGAGCCAUUACGUCUGUUUUGUUUCUAACGUACCGGAAGUUGGAAAAUAAGUUUUCUAUUUACCUACUAAUAUACCCACGUACCGUUCAUAUGAUGUUUCUACUACUACUACAAGGACUAGUACUACUGCUUCUACCUACGAAUGUCAAAAUCAAUUCAACAUCCCUACUACAAGAAGCCAAUACAAAAUCAAUUCAACAUACCUACACUACCUAUGAAAGUCAAAUUGAAAACUACAGUACUUUUAUUAACCUAAAACGUAGUGUAAACCUACUACAAGGAGGACAUUAUAGGUGAUAACAUUAGGUUGUAAAAAUAGAUUAUAUACUAAACAAGGAGG
This 1784-nucleotide ribosomal RNA is filed under the name Triticum aestivum (bread wheat). RNAcentral describes it as "partial small subunit ribosomal RNA". Lineage: Eukaryota; Viridiplantae; Streptophyta; Magnoliopsida; Poales; Poaceae. The record is from RNAcentral.